GUGGACGUUACUCGCAGAAUAAGCACCGGCUAACUCUGUGCCAGCAGCCGCGGUAAUACAGAGGGUGCGAGCGUUAAUCGGAUUUACUGGGCGUAAAGCGUGCGUAGGCGGCCAUUUAAGUCAAAUGUGAAAUCCCCGAGCUUAACUUGGGAAUUGCAUUCGAUACUGGAUGGCUAGAGUAUGGGAGAGGAUGGUAGAAU
This 200-nucleotide ribosomal RNA is filed under the name Acinetobacter sp. Its description in RNAcentral is "partial 16S ribosomal RNA". It matches the Rfam family "Bacterial small subunit ribosomal RNA", at positions 468 to 667 of the family's 1533-position model. Lineage: Bacteria; Pseudomonadati; Pseudomonadota; Gammaproteobacteria; Moraxellales; Moraxellaceae. The record is from RNAcentral.